This 1460-nucleotide ribosomal RNA is filed under the name soil metagenome. RNAcentral describes it as "bacterial LSU rRNA". It matches the Rfam family "Bacterial large subunit ribosomal RNA", at positions 502 to 1977 of the family's 2925-position model. The record is from RNAcentral.
CGUGAGGGAAAGGUGAAAAGAACCCCGGGAGGGGAGUGAAAUAGAACCUGAAACCUUAUGCUUACAAGCAAAGGGAGCGCAAGUGACCUUGUACUUUUUGUAGAACGGGCCAACGAGUUAUGGUAUGUAGCAAGGUUAAGGUGUUAAGCACCGGAGCCGUAGCGAAAGCGAGUCUUAACUGGGCGUCAAGUUGCAUGCUGUAGACCCGAAACCGGGUGACCUAUCCAUGUGCAGGUUGAAGUAUCCGUAAAAGGAUAUGGAGGACCGAACUCAUGUCUGUUGAAAAAGGCUGGGAUGACGUGUGGAUAGCGGUGAAAUUCCAAUCGAACCCGGAUAUAGCUGGUUCUCCUCGAAAUAGCUUUAGGGCUAGCCUCAGUUAAAGAUACUCGGAGGUAGAGCACUGAAUGUUCUAGGGGCCUUCACCGGUUACCGAAAACUAUCAAACUCCGAAUGCCGAAGUAUUGUUUACUGGGAGUCAGACUAUGUGAGAUAAGUUUCAUAGUCGAAAGGGAAACAGCCCAGACCAACAGCUAAGGUCCCCAAAUGUAAGUUAAGUGGAAAAGGAUGUGGAGCUGCAUAGACAACUAGGAUGUUGGCUUAGAAGCAGCCACUCAUUUAAAGAGUGCGUAAUAGCUCACUAGUCGAGUGGCUCUGCGCCGAAGAUAAACGGGGCUAAAACUUACUACCGAAGCUUUGGAAUAAUCCUAACGGAUUAUUGGUAGAGGAGCAUCGUAUACGGGCAGAAGGUGUAUUGUAAGGUAUGCUGGACUGUAUACGAGAGAGAAUGUUGGCAUGAGUAGCGUAAGGCAGGUGAGAAUCCUGCCCACCGAAAAUCUAAGGUUUCCUGAGGAAGGUUCGUCCACUCAGGGUAAGUCGGGACCUAAGCCGAGGACGAAGGUCGUAGGCGAUGGACAACAGGUUGAGAUUCCUGUACCACCGAAAAUCGUUUGAGCGAUGUGGGGACACAGAAGGAUAAGCUGAGCGCGCCGUUGGUUGAGCGCGUCUAAGCGUCAAGGGAGAACUGGUAGGCAAAUCCGCCGGUUCAAUUCUGAGGCGUGAUGGGGAGGGAAAUUAGAGUACCGAAGCAGCUGAUUUCACACUGUCAAGAAAAGCCGCUAGCGAGAUCGUAGGUGCCCGUACCGCAAACCGACACAGGUAGAUGAGGAGAGAAUCCUAAGGUGAGCGAGAGAACUAUUGUUAAGGAACUCGGCAAAAUAACCCCGUAACUUCGGGAGAAGGGGUGCCAGCGCAAGCUGGCCGCAGUGAAAAGGCCCAGGCGACUGUUUACCAAAAACACAGGUCUCUGCUAAAGCGAAAGCUGAUGUAUAGGGGCUGACGCCUGCCCGGUGCUGGAAGGUUAAGGGGACUGCUUAGUCGCAAGGCGAAGGCAUGAACUUAAGCCCCAGUAAACGGCGGCCGUAACUAUAACGGUCCUAAGGUAGCGAAAUUCCUUGUCGGGU